RNAcentral lists this long non-coding RNA (323 nucleotides) under Salvia miltiorrhiza (redroot sage). RNAcentral describes it as "long non-coding RNA (SMIL_LNC012877)". The record is from RNAcentral. Lineage: Eukaryota; Viridiplantae; Streptophyta; Magnoliopsida; Lamiales; Lamiaceae.
UUUUAAAUACCUAACCUUUAGUUUUUGUCUCAAAUUUAUCCGGUGAUCGGAUUUUUCUUACGCCGGCGCCGAAAAUUAUAAGGUGGCAGCCGGAAUCGAUGCAGUGGCAGCCGGAAAGUGACACCUAAGCAAAUUUAGGACAUGUAGGAAAAAAAUAAAAAAAAUGAUAAAGAAAACAUCCACAUCAUCAUCUUCUCCAUUCUCCCACCUCCCAAACCCUAACUUUCCCCCCCGCCGGCGCCGCCUGCCGCCACCACACGCCGGCGCCGGCAGCACAUUCCCCCUCCCUAGACCCGUCGGCCUCCCCCUCCCCAGACCCCGUC